AUUGAACGCUGGCGGCAGGCCUAACACAUGCAAGUCGAGCGCGCGGCGGACGGGUGAGUAAUGUCUGGGAAACUGCCUGCUGGAGGGGGAUAACUACUCGCAACGGUAGCUAAUACCGCAUACCAUCAGAUGUGCCCCGAUGGGAUUAGCUAGUAGGUGGGGUAACGGCUCACCUAGGCAACGAUCCCUAGCGGGUCUGAGAGGAUGACCAGCCACACUGGAACUGAGACACGGUCCAGACUCCUACGGGAGGCAGCAGUGGGGAAUAUUGCACAAUGGGCGCAAGCCUGAUACAGCCAUGCCGCGUGUAUGAAGAAGGCCUUCGGGUUGUAAAGCACUUUCAGCGGGGAGGCGUUACCCGCAGAAGAAGCACCGGCUAACUCCGUGCCAGCAGCCGCGGUAAUUC
RNAcentral lists this ribosomal RNA (406 nucleotides) under uncultured bacterium. RNAcentral describes it as "partial 16S ribosomal RNA". It matches the Rfam family "Bacterial small subunit ribosomal RNA", at positions 30 to 526 of the family's 1533-position model. The record is from RNAcentral.